This is a long non-coding RNA of Epinephelus fuscoguttatus (brown-marbled grouper), 998 nucleotides long. RefSeq lists it as uncharacterized. The record is from RefSeq and is a predicted model, not a curated record. The transcript has 2 exons. NCBI's taxonomy places the organism in Eukaryota, Metazoa, Chordata, Actinopteri, Perciformes, Serranidae.
GUAAAACUGUUGUUCAAACGUCCACAUAAUUCUUUGACUAUGAACUGUUCUGAAUAAUGCUAACAAUGCUUUUAAUUAUACUAGUGCUGAUCCACCCGUCCCAGCAACCCAUUCAUGACGUGUGCAUAGGUUUGCUCAGUGGAGAGAAUCAGCAGAUGCCUGAUCACCCACUGAAGGUCCCUGUGGGCACAUGGAUCCCUCAGAGACAUGAUACCUCUGGAUUUGAUCUCAACCAUUUUUGUCAAGUUAUCGUAUCCCUGUUCUUUUUGAGUUUUAAUGUACUUUGAUUUUGCUUGUUGUUGUGUAUUACAUGCAGAGAAAUUUUAGACAUUUUUGCUUUCAAGUGAUUAUAGGUCAGAGGCAGACAGAAAAUGUGGGGAGAAGGGUGGAGGGAGCUGGAUUCAAACCAGAGACAUACGCCCUGUUUCCACUGAGCAGUAUGGUACAGUUCAGUUUGUUACGUUGUUUUUCAGUUUCCACUGUGAAAAGUUGUGGAUGGUACCAAUGGAACUGUUCUGUACCGUCCCCAUUUUUGGUCCCCCCUCUGUUGGGGUACCUAGCACACAGAUCUGGUACUAAAAGGUGGAGCUGUGAACACUGCAGUCUGUUGAUUGGUCAAUAGAGGACGGUCACUCUGCGUGCAAUCCUGUUCCGUGAUUGAGAAAUGAGGUGCAGACUUUCCUCUGUGUCACCGGAAAUACAGUGAGCACUGGAUGGAGCAGUGAGUUGCAGUAACAUGAAAGAGUACUGUUUGCAGUUGAAACUCUAGGGUCUAGGUACCAUGUCUGAAGGGAUACUUUGGUUCCAAAGAUACUAUACGGAAAGUGUUUGGUGGAAACGGGGCUAUAGUGGUUUUUAUGGUGCAUGUCUAACCCACCAGUGUACUAUGAUCUCGCAGAGACUUUUUGUUUUUCACAAUUAAACAUGUUUUGCAUAAAUGUGUGUGAUAUGGUAUACUGUCCAAUACACCUCAAUAAAGUUUCGUUUUGUGAAUGCCA